RNAcentral lists this ribosomal RNA (528 nucleotides) under Saccharomyces cerevisiae (brewer's yeast). RNAcentral's name for it is "eukaryotic LSU rRNA". It matches the Rfam family "Eukaryotic large subunit ribosomal RNA", at positions 78 to 609 of the family's 3401-position model. Lineage: Eukaryota; Fungi; Ascomycota; Saccharomycetes; Saccharomycetales; Saccharomycetaceae. The record is from RNAcentral.
CCUUAGUAACGGCGAGUGAAGCGGCAAAAGCUCAAAUUUGAAAUCUGGUACCUUCGGUGCCCGAGUUGUAAUUUGGAGAGGGCAACUUUGGGGCCGUUCCUUGUCUAUGUUCCUUGGAACAGGACGUCAUAGAGGGUGAGAAUCCCGUGUGGCGAGGAGUGCGGUUCUUUGUAAAGUGCCUUCGAAGAGUCGAGUCUCCAGGGAAUGCAGCUCUAAGUGGGUGGUAAAUUCCAUCUAAAGCUAAAUAUUGGCGAGAGACCGAACCGUCACAAGUACAGUGAUGGAAAGAUGAAAAGAACUUUGAAAAGAGAGUGAAAAAGUACGUGAAAUUGUUGAAAGGGAAGGGCAUUUGAUCAGACAUGGUGUUUUGUGCCCUCUGCUCCUUGUGGGUAGGGGAAUCUCGCAUUUCACUGGGCCAGCAUCAGUUUUGGUGGCAGGAUAAAUCCAUAGGAAUGUAGCUUGCCUCGGUAAGUAUUAUAGCCUGUGGGAAUACUGCCAGCUGGGACUGAGGACUGCGACGUAAGUCAA